GCAGAAUUCAGUGAAUCAUCGAAUCUUUGAACGCAAAUGGCGCUCUUGGGUUCUCCCAGGAGCAUGUCUGUCUGAGUGUCUUUUUCGUUGAAUGACAUUCGCACGAUGUGGCCGUGUUAUGCACUGGCGUUUCGUGCGGCGUUGAGGUUCGCGGCCUUGCUAUUCUUAGGCCGCGUGCCUUUAAAUGGAGGAGGAAGAUGGGCUCAAGGUCCGGUGCAGUCGCAUGCGGAUUCAGUUGAUGUGCCGCAUGUGACUGCUGCAUCGGGAAUAUUGUCCUCGGCCCUCUACCUCGUGACCUUUAGCACGACGCUCGUUCGUUCGUUCGUUGCUUGCCGCCAGACCUCAGAUCAGGCAAGGCUACCCGCUGAAUUUAAGCAUAUUAAUAAGCGGAGGAAAAGAAACUAACAAGGAUUCCCCCAGUAACGGCGAGUGAAGCGGGAAGAGCUCAAAUUUGAAAUCUCCGAUGCCUGCAUCGGCGAGUUGUAGUUGCGAGAAGCACUUUCUAGGCGGAAGGGCCCUGCCUAAGUUGCUUGGAACAGCACGUCGCAGAGGGUGACAACCCCGUCU
This 567-nucleotide small RNA is filed under the name Stylophora mamillata. RNAcentral's name for it is "eukaryotic LSU rRNA". The stretch from base 338 to 567 matches the Rfam family "Eukaryotic large subunit ribosomal RNA", at positions 1 to 226 of the family's 3401-position model. The record is from RNAcentral. Lineage: Eukaryota; Metazoa; Cnidaria; Anthozoa; Scleractinia; Pocilloporidae.